Thamnophis elegans (Western terrestrial garter snake) is the source of this 567-nucleotide non-coding RNA. NCBI's taxonomy places the organism in Eukaryota, Metazoa, Chordata, Lepidosauria, Squamata, Natricidae. The record is from the annotation of a RefSeq genome assembly.
AUGCAAAUGCUCCUGGUGUGGCUUUUUCUUAAAUGCCGCAACCGAGGAUCAUUUUUAGGUGAGGAGAGUGAAUCCCAUACGUCCAUCAUGGAGCUAAAUAUCUUGAUUUCUUUCUUAGUGGUCUUACCUGCAUGUAUUUCAUCACAAAUUACACUUACUGAGUCUGGUGGUGGCCUAAAGAAGCCAGGAGAUACUCUACAGCUGACUUGUUCAGUCUCUGGAUUUGCCAUCACAUCCUAUGGAGUGAACUGGAUCCGUCAGCCCACUGGAAAGGCUAUUGAAUGGAAUGGUAUUAUCUGGGGUGGUGGAAGCACUAACUAUAACAGUGCUCUCCAGAAUCGGAUCAGGAUCACAAGGGAUACUUCCAAAAACCAGGUCUUCCUUCAACUGACUGCUUUAACGACUGAAGACACAGGAACUUAUUACUGUGCAAGAGUCACAGUGAUAAAAUGCUUUGCUCAAGCAGCCCAAAACCACUCUUCCUCAAAACAAAUCCUUAGUCAUUUGUUGUUUUUGAAUGGCAGCCAGCAAGGAGGUGGCUUUCCAUGCACUGCCAGCUAUGUGUGA